GACGAACGCUGGCGGCGUGCUUAACACAUGCAAGUCGAACGGAAAGGCCCUGCUUUUGUGGGGUGCUCGAGUGGCGAAUGGGUGAGUAACACGUGAGUAACCUGCCCUUGACUUUGGGAUAACUUCAGGAAACUGGGGCUAAUACCGGAUAGGAGCUCCUGCUGCAUGGUGGGGGUUGGAAAGUUUCGGCGGUUGGGGAUGGACUCGCGGCUUAUCAGCUUGUUGGUGGGGUAGUGGCUUACCAAGGCUUUGACGGGUAGCCGGCCUGAGAGGGUGACCGGCCACAUUGGGACUGGGAUACGGCCCAGACUCCAACGGGAGGCAGCAGUGGGGAAUAUUGCACAAUGGGCGGAAGCCUGAUGCAGCAACGCGGCGUGCGGGAUGACGGCCUUCGGGUUGUAAACCGCUUUCGCCUGUGACGAAGCGUGAGUGACGGUAAUGGGUAAAGAAGCACCGGCUAACUACGUG
RNAcentral lists this ribosomal RNA (468 nucleotides) under uncultured bacterium. Its description in RNAcentral is "partial 16S ribosomal RNA". It matches the Rfam family "Bacterial small subunit ribosomal RNA", at positions 28 to 507 of the family's 1533-position model. The record is from RNAcentral.